This is a long non-coding RNA of Chinchilla lanigera (long-tailed chinchilla), 1070 nucleotides long. RefSeq lists it as uncharacterized. The transcript has 4 exons. The record is from RefSeq and is a predicted model, not a curated record. NCBI's taxonomy places the organism in Eukaryota, Metazoa, Chordata, Mammalia, Rodentia, Chinchillidae.
CGAAGAUUUAACACCUCGCCUGGUAAAGCUCAAGGAAAAUUUUGACCGCCCUAACCUAUUAUGGCUUUCUUUGUCCGAAUGAAUGAAGGGCUGCUUGAAUGUCCUCAUUACAUGACAACUGGCUUUUCUAGAGCAACUGACCCAAGAGAGAGAGAGCAACCAAGACAGACUUUUUUGUAUUCUCUCAUUCUGAUGUAUCUCAGUCCCUACUGUUAAAUCCUAAUGGUUUCUGACGACUUCUACAGAAUUGGAUUCAUUCGAUAACCAUAAGCACAGAGAAGAUAUGCAAAGAUAUCAGAUGUCAGAAGGAUGUAAAGAUGAGGGCUGCCCACCAUGUCUGUACUCUGGCCAGUGGGAAGAAGGAAAAGGCAAGAAGCAACCAUAUUCUGUUCCUAAGAAAAAAUGGUGCCUGACACACAGCAAGAAGACAAAAAUGUUGAAUGAAUGAAUGAAUGAGCUUAUAGUAACUCUAGUUUUGAAAGUGCCCAGCAGAGAAAUUCAAUAAUAAAAGACACUUAACAAUCAACAGAUAGAGGCUGCUGAUGUUUUCUUAUUGACCUCAGAGCUGCAAGAAGAGGAGUAAGAUGCUUUGCAAGCUAAUGGGAAACAUCUGAUUGUGGUCUAUGCUCAUUUAAUUUUGGAGGACUAAUUCAAGGCAGGCAUAUGCCUUUCAUUCUCAAUACGUGUAUGCCUUUCACUCACCUAUGUUAAGCUCCUUUGUCCACCCUGAUGGCCAGCUCUUCUCUUCUAAUCUUCAGAGUUUAAAUCCCAUAACUGAUGGUUAACUGGAACUAUAGUAAUGAAAGCCCCGAAUAGUAAUAAGAAGGAACCUCUGCUGCCACCACCAACCAUGCUGGAUCCAGGAGGAAAUAUGUUCCCCAUGUCCCUCCUUCAUGCUGUGAGGUGGUCCACAUCUUUGGACUUAUUCCAACAACCUGUUAAAACUUGGUGGAUUCCUGUGGAGUUGUAGGCAUGCAAGGACCUGCUUCACCCAAGGACAUCAAGAAGGCAGAUCAGAAACUAGCACUAAAGUGGCACCCAGAUAAACAUCCCACAAAUAAAGAAGAAAA